UUAAACCUCUAACUGUGACUGAUUUUUUUGGAAAAAUAUAUUAACAUCUGCAAGCUGAAAUAAGUGCACUAUCAAGACAUGGAGAAUUUAAUGAAACUAAUUUGAUGUCAUAGAUAUUGGCGUAUUUUUCUAUAAACUUGGUGAAAGUUAGAGAAGUUUGACUU
This 164-nucleotide microRNA precursor is filed under the name Sorghum bicolor (sorghum). RNAcentral describes it as "miR437u stem-loop (sbi-MIR437u)". Its record names the gene sbi-MIR437u. Lineage: Eukaryota; Viridiplantae; Streptophyta; Magnoliopsida; Poales; Poaceae. The record is from miRBase by way of RNAcentral.